This 324-nucleotide ribosomal RNA is filed under the name uncultured eukaryote. Its description in RNAcentral is "partial 18S ribosomal RNA". It matches the Rfam family "Eukaryotic small subunit ribosomal RNA", at positions 1470 to 1796 of the family's 1831-position model. The record is from RNAcentral.
CCCUUAGAUGUUCUGGGCCGCACGCGCGCUACAAUGAUGAAUUCAACGAGUUUAUAACCUUGGUUGAAAAGCCUGGGUAAUCUUUUGAACUUUCGUCGUGAUGGGGCUAGACCCUUGCAAUUAUUGGUCUCCAACGAGGAAUUCCUAGUAAACGCAAGUCAUCAGCUUGCAUUGAUUACGUCCCUGCCCUUUGUACACACCGCCCGUCGCACCUACCGAUUGAAUGGUCCGGUGAGCUCUUCGGACUGCGCGGUCUGCAGUUUCUGCGUUCCGUGCGGAAAGUUGCGCAAACCUUAACAUUUAGAGGAAGGAGAAGUCGUAACA